This 301-nucleotide ribosomal RNA is filed under the name uncultured bacterium. RNAcentral's name for it is "partial 16S ribosomal RNA". It matches the Rfam family "Bacterial small subunit ribosomal RNA", at positions 509 to 808 of the family's 1533-position model. The record is from RNAcentral.
CAGCAGCCGCGGUAAUACGUAUGUCACAAGCGUUAUCCGGAUUUAUUGGGCGUAAAGCGCGUCUAGGUGGUUAUGUAAGUCUGAUGUGAAAAUGCAGGGCUCAACUCUGUAUUGCGUUGGAAACUGUGUAACUAGAGUACUGGAGAGGUAAGCGGAACUACAAGUGUAGAGGUGAAAUUCGUAGAUAUUUGUAGGAAUGCCGAUGGGGAAGCCAGCUUACUGGACAGAUACUGACGCUGAAGCGCGAAAGCGUGGGUAGCAAACAGGAUUAGAUACCCGUGUAGUCCCUGUCUCUUAUACA